AACGAACGCUGGCGGCAUGCCUAACAUAUGCAAGUCGAACGAGACCUUCGGGUCUAGUGGCGCACGGGUGCGUAGCGCGUGGGAACCUGCCCUUAGGUUCGGAAUAACUCCCCGAAAGGGGUGCUAAUACCGGAUAAUGUCUUCGGACCAAAGAUUUAUCGCCUUUGGAUGGGCCCGCGUUGGAUUAGCUAGUUGGUAGGGUAAAAGCCUACCAAGGCGACGAUCCAUAGCUGGUCUGAGAGGAUGAUCAGCCACACUGGGACUGAGACACGGCCCAGACUCCUACGGGAGGCAGCAGUGGGGAAUAUUGGACAAUGGGCGAAAGCCUGAUCCAGCAAUGCCGCGUGAGUGAUGAAGGCCUUAGGGUUGUAAAGCUCUUUUACCCGGGAUGAUAAUGACAGUACCGGGAGAAUAAGCUCCGGCUAACUCCGUG
RNAcentral lists this ribosomal RNA (433 nucleotides) under uncultured bacterium. Its description in RNAcentral is "partial 16S ribosomal RNA". It matches the Rfam family "Bacterial small subunit ribosomal RNA", at positions 29 to 507 of the family's 1533-position model. The record is from RNAcentral.